AUUUUCUUAUAACAUUAAUAAAAGUAAAUAUUCGAUCUGUCUUAGAAUACUUGCGAAGAAGACCUCGUCGUCGGGCCUCGAUCAGUCUUUAGAAUCUUGCGAAGACCUCGCCGUCGCGGACGAGGAGGUUGUGACGCAGUCCACAGGUACAAAUCACCGAGAACAUCUUCUGACCGUCGGCUUGAGUUUCCGUGGAGAGGAAGGUAGCGGCGGCAGUGUGAGAAUAUGUGGCUGGGGGCGGCGGCGGAGAGGCGACAGAUGGAGGGGUGGAAUGGAUGGAAGACGGUGUGUUGCUCAUCGGACUUGGCAUCUGGGUAGGAGUUGAACGGAUGGAAGACGGUGUGUAGCUCAUCGGACUCGGCGAGGAAGAAACUCCAGAUCUUACGGAGACCGGAGGGGAAGCGUCCAUAAGACUGGGGGAGGAAGAAGAUCCCGAUCCUACGGAGACUGGGGGAGAUGCCUCCAUGGGACUGGGAGAGCUUUGGGAACCUUUGACUGAUCGACUCAUUUCCACAGUUUCUAGUCCGCGUUACUUGCUUUGGCAUCUGAUCGAUUGAAACACCUUGCUUCCCCCCUACUGGCAAUUUAGGCUUGUGCCUAACUCUUAUUGUUGGCUGCUGUUCUUCAUUGUAUUACUACAUUGUUGUUUAGUCGUCUAAUAGAUUCCUUUGGACUGAAUCAGAACAACAGACACUAUAGAGAUGGCUUGUUAGAUGGAGAGAGACAAGCAGCGUGGAUAUUGAGUAUGUAUCUGAAAACAAUUCUCAGGCAAGACAUUAUUUGGAUGCUUCGGUGUGGAGACAAACACAGGGUAGGUUGUUGGUAGAAUGUCUCUAGAUACUGUUCUUAUACGUACAAGACCCAUGCCAUGGUUGACAAGGUUGGGAAGUUUUAUUCAGUUGAUAGCUGCUAUGUUCCUCGGUUGAUUAUUUCGCAUUAGCUUUUGCAAAUGGAUGGUUUAUUAACAUUGGUUAUGUUAACUUCAAUUCCUCUCCUCGCUAUAGGUCUCUAUUUUCUACACAAAGUAGCAUUAGAUUGUACAAAGGUUUUUUGAAGUGAAUAAAAUUUAAAAAU
Raphanus sativus (radish) is the source of this 1074-nucleotide long non-coding RNA. RefSeq lists it as uncharacterized. Lineage: Eukaryota; Viridiplantae; Streptophyta; Magnoliopsida; Brassicales; Brassicaceae. The record is from RefSeq and is a predicted model, not a curated record. The transcript has 4 exons.